GUGCUGCUCAUUUUGGUGGCACAUAUGCUAAAAUUGGAACAACACAGAGAAGAUUAGCAUCUCUAGAUCCUGGGCAGAAUGACAUGCAAAUUUAUGAAGCAUUUCAUAUUUUU
Otolemur garnettii (small-eared galago) is the source of this 113-nucleotide small nuclear RNA. The record is from Ensembl. Lineage: Eukaryota; Metazoa; Chordata; Mammalia; Primates; Galagidae.